GAGUCUGGUUACUGUAGAAAUCACAUCAUCGGAGAAGUUCGGAUAUUGAUGAAGUUCGGAAGAAGUUCAAAAUAGGGUCGUCCGCGGUCGGAAGGAGUCUGGGAGGGAUUCAGAGAAUAGUUGAUCACUGUAGAAGGUCGGCUGAUAGUGAAGCCCAGAGAGCCUUUGGAGUGGCCCGGUAGAUGAAUGGGAAAGCUCAUUGUCAGAGAAGUUUGGAUGGUCGAGGG
This 227-nucleotide long non-coding RNA is filed under the name Elaeis guineensis (African oil palm). RNAcentral describes it as "long non-coding RNA (EGUI_LNC061587)". The record is from RNAcentral. Lineage: Eukaryota; Viridiplantae; Streptophyta; Magnoliopsida; Arecales; Arecaceae.